Molecule: ribosomal RNA, 497 nt
Filed under: uncultured bacterium
Lineage: Bacteria
Description: partial 16S ribosomal RNA
Rfam family: Bacterial small subunit ribosomal RNA
Source: RNAcentral
GAUGAACGCUGGCGGCAUGCCUAAUACAUGCAAGUCGAACGAACGGACGAGAAGCUUGCGUCUCUGAUGUUAGCGGCGGACGGGUGAGUAACACGUGGAUAACCUACCUAUAAGACUGGGAUAACUUCGGGAGACCAGAUCUAAUACCGGAUGAUAUUUUGAACCGCAUGGUUCAAAAGUUAAAGACGGUCUUUCUGUCACUUAUAGAUGGAUCCGCGCUGCAUUAGCUAGUUGGUAAGGUAACGGCUUACCAAGGCAACGAUGCAUAGCCGACCUGAGAGGGUGAUCGGCCACACUGGAACUGAGACACGGUCCAGACUCCUACGGGAGGCAGCAGUAGGGAAUCUUACGCAAUGGGCGAAAGCCUGACGGAGCAACGCCGCGUGAGUGAUGAAGGUCUUCGGAUCGUAAAACUCUGUUAUUAGGGAAGAACAUAUGUGUAAGUAACUGUGAACAUAUUGACGGUACCUAAUCAGAAAGCCACGGCUAACUACGUG